Molecule: ribosomal RNA, 253 nt
Filed under: uncultured bacterium
Lineage: Bacteria
Description: partial 16S ribosomal RNA
Rfam family: Bacterial small subunit ribosomal RNA
Source: RNAcentral
GACGAACCGUGCGAACGUUGUUCGGAAUCACUGGGCUUAAAGGGCGCGUAGGCGGACUGCCAAGUCCGGGGUGAAAUCCUCCGGCUUAACCGGAGAAUUGCCUGGGAUACUGGCGGUCUUGAGGGAGGUAGGGGCACGCGGAACUACCGGUGGAGCGGUGAAAUGCGUUGAUAUCGGAAGGAACGCCGGUGGCGAAAGCGGCGUGCUGGCCCUCUUCUGACGCUGAGGCGCGAAAGCUAGGGGAGCAAACAGG